This 558-nucleotide ribosomal RNA is filed under the name Cryptosporidium parvum. RNAcentral's name for it is "SSU rRNA". It matches the Rfam family "Eukaryotic small subunit ribosomal RNA", at positions 426 to 1012 of the family's 1831-position model. The record is from RNAcentral. Lineage: Eukaryota; Apicomplexa; Conoidasida; Eucoccidiorida; Cryptosporidiidae.
CAGCAGGCGCGCAAAUUACCCAAUCCUAAUACAGGGAGGUAGUGACAAGAAAUAACAAUACAGGACUUUUUGGUUUUGUAAUUGGAAUGAGUUAAGUAUAAACCCCUUUACAAGUAUCAAUUGGAGGGCAAGUCUGGUGCCAGCAGCCGCGGUAAUUCCAGCUCCAAUAGCGUAUAUUAAAGUUGUUGCAGUUAAAAAGCUCGUAGUUGGAUUUCUGUUAAUAAUUUAUAUAAAAUAUUUUGAUGAAUAUUUAUAUAAUAUUAACAUAAUUCAUAUUACUAUAUAUUUUAGUAUAUGAAAUUUUACUUUGAGAAAAUUAGAGUGCUUAAAGCAGGCAUAUGCCUUGAAUACUCCAGCAUGGAAUAAUAUUAAAGAUUUUUAUCUUUCUUAUUGGUUCUAAGAUAAGAAUAAUGAUUAAUAGGGACAGUUGGGGGCAUUUGUAUUUAACAGUCAGAGGUGAAAUUCUUAGAUUUGUUAAAGACAAACUAAUGCGAAAGCAUUUGCCAAGGAUGUUUUCAUUAAUCAAGAACGAAAGUUAGGGGAUCGAAGACGAUCAGA